GACGAACGCUGGCGGCGUGCUUAAUACAUGCAAGUCGAACGCUGAAGGAGGAGCUUGCUUCGCUGGAUGAGUUGCGAACGGGUGAGUAACGCGUAGGUAACCUGCCUGGUAGCGGGGGAUAACUAUUGGAAACGAUAGCUAAUACCGCAUAAGAGUAGAUGCUGCAUGAUAUUUGUUUAAAAGGUGCAAUUGCAUCACUACCAGAUGGACCUGCGUUGUUUUAGCUAGUUGGUGGGGUAACGGCUCACCAAGGCGACGAUACAUAGCCGACCGGCGAGGGUGGGCGGCCAGACUGGGAGGGUGACAGGGCCCAGAGGGCUACAGGAAGGAGCAGGAGGGAAACGGCGGCAAUGAGCGGAAAUCAGAGUGAGAAAGGCCGCGGGAGGGAGGAGGGGUGUCGGAUCGGAAAUCUCGGUUGUAGGAGAGGAAAGAGUGUGCGAGUGGAAAGAACACACUGUGACGGUAUCUUGCCAGAAAGGGACGGCUAACUACGUG
This 495-nucleotide ribosomal RNA is filed under the name uncultured bacterium. Its description in RNAcentral is "partial 16S ribosomal RNA". It matches the Rfam family "Bacterial small subunit ribosomal RNA", at positions 28 to 507 of the family's 1533-position model. The record is from RNAcentral.